AGAGGAAGUAAAAGUCGUAACAAGGUUUCCGUAGGUGAACCUGCGGAAGGAUCAUUAAUGAAAUUGAAACGCCUUUCGGUCGUGCUGGCUUUUGCAAGUGCACACCGUCUGGUUUCAUCCAACACCCUUGUGCACCUUUGGCCUCGCGUUGUAAUGACGCGGGGAUCUUUACACAAACUCGUAUGUAACAGAAUGUAAAUCUAGUGCGUAAGCACGAAAUGUACAACUUUCAACAACGGAUCUCUUGGCUCUCGCAUCGAUGAAGAACGCAGCGAAAUGCGAUAAGUAAUGUGAAUUGCAGAAUUCAGUGAAUCAUCGAAUCUUUGAACGCACCUUGCACCCUUUGGUAUUCCGAAGGGUAUGCCCGUUUGAGUGUCAUUGUAAUCUCACACCCCUAGAUUUAUUCGAAGGGCGGUGGACUUGGACGCUGCUGCGUUAAGCGGCUCGUCUUAAAUGCAUUAGUGCAACUUUCGGUUGGACAUAGUACAGCGUGAUAAGUAUCUUCGCUGGCUCUCCUCACGGAGGUGUUCGAACGUUAAGCUCUGUGCUUCUAAUCGUCCCUCGUGGACUAAGCUUCGGCUUAUUUGACAACUUGACCUCAAAUCGGGUAGGACUACCCGCUGAACUUAAGCAUAUCAAUAAGCGGAGGAAAAGAAACUAACAAGGAUUCCCCUAGUAACGGCGAGUGAAGAGGGAAGAGCUCAAAUUUUGAAUCUGGCGUCUUCGGCGUCCGAGUUGUAAUCUAAAGAAGUGUUUUCCGCGAUGGACCGUGCACAAGUCUCCUGGAACGGUGCGUCAUAGAGGGUGAGAAUCCCGUUUAUGGCACGGACUACCAUUGCUCUGUGAUACACUCUCGACGAGUCGAGUUGUUUGGGAAUGCAGCUCAAAAUGGGUGGUAAAUUCCAUCUAAAGCUAAAUAUUGGCGAGAGACCGAUAGCGAACAAGUACCGUGAGGGAAAGAUGAAAAGCACUUUGGAAAGAGAGUGAAACAGUACGUGAAAUUGUUGAAAGGGAAACGCUUGAAGUCAGUCGCGCUCAUUUGGAUUCAUCCUGGCUUUUGCCUGGUUUACUUCCUUGUGGGCGGGUCAACGUCAGUUUUGACCGGAGGAAAAAGCUUAGAGAAAUGUGGCAGCUUGCUGUGUUAUAGUCUCUUAGUGUAUACUUCGGUUGGGACUGAGGACCGCAGCGCGCCUUACGGCCGGGGUUCGCCCACGUACGCGCUUAGGAUGUUGGCAUAAUGGCUUUAAGCGACCCGUCUUG
Molecule: ribosomal RNA, 1260 nt
Filed under: Chaetospermum sp. TUB 020201
Lineage: Eukaryota; Fungi; Basidiomycota; Agaricomycetes; Sebacinales; Sebacinaceae
Description: eukaryotic LSU rRNA
Rfam family: Eukaryotic large subunit ribosomal RNA (bases 594-1260)
Source: RNAcentral